GGGGGCGAGCGCAUUGACAGGAUGGGAAGCUGCGUGUGCAAGCUGAGAGCCCCGAUCUCUCACAAAUCAAGUGGGGCCACAUUAUCUGGCAACAUAUUCGGCCGACAACCGGCCUUAGCUGUAGCGUAAGCUUACGGCCGUCUCCUGACCGAUUCUCGAUAGGUCAAAGAGGCGUCACGUUUCGAGAAACGACGGUGAAAAUCUGGUCCCGACUCACCGCCGCAUAAGGGACCGCAGGAAUGGAGAUUUCGUCGGGCCUUGACUCCGUUCCUUACCAGGCCCGACUACGCUUGAAGACUCACGAGGCCUACUCAUGCUGGACGGGAGCUCAUCCUCCCCGCCUCCACCA
RNAcentral lists this transfer-messenger RNA (349 nucleotides) under bacterium. It matches the Rfam family "transfer-messenger RNA". From Rfam's summary of the family: Bacterial tmRNA, also known as 10Sa RNA or SsrA, is named for its dual tRNA and mRNA-like properties. The record is from RNAcentral.